Molecule: small RNA, 582 nt
Filed under: Malus domestica (apple)
Lineage: Eukaryota; Viridiplantae; Streptophyta; Magnoliopsida; Rosales; Rosaceae
Description: sRNA MD02G0041800
Source: RNAcentral
UUUCCCGUUCACUGUCUUUCUCUCUCCUCCUUCACGAUUUCUCACUCUCUCUGUCUCUCUCCUUCGAACUCACACGGACCACCACCAAAACCACCCUAAAUCUAUACCAACGUCAAGUUUGAGACCACCAUUGGAAUCCUGAGGACUUCACGAUCACGUUGGUAUCCAUUUCAGGACAAUCCAAGCUCAUAGUGAGCUUAGUGAGGUCCCAAGGAAGCUCGGAGUGCUUCGUUGGAAGUUUUUGGACGUAAGAACACGGAGAUCGACAAGUUCAAAGUUUGGCCGGAGCUUUCGAGGCUUAUUCCGGCGAAUCCCCGGCGAGUUAGGAGUCGAGUUUCCGGCGACCUCCGAGGCUUUCGAGGCAGUUUCCGGCCAAACCACGGCGAACUAGGUGUUGUGCAAGGCGGCGAUCGUCGUGACGCCUUGAUGUGUGGUGCUAGGGAGUUGUUGGAUGAACUCCAGGUUCAGGAAUCACAAAGGUGUGGUGACUACGAGGAAUUCGACGGUGUUCUGACAGAUUGGACAAAAUUAGGACUCACCUUCGGGUGUAUCAACUUAUAAAUUGUAUAAUUAAAGCUUCCG